This 502-nucleotide ribosomal RNA is filed under the name Bactrocera aurea. Its description in RNAcentral is "partial large subunit ribosomal RNA". It matches the Rfam family "Bacterial large subunit ribosomal RNA", at positions 1801 to 2568 of the family's 2925-position model. Lineage: Eukaryota; Metazoa; Arthropoda; Insecta; Diptera; Tephritidae. The record is from RNAcentral.
UGUUUUACAAAAACAUGUCUUUUUGAGUUAUUUUUAAAGUCUGACCUGCCCACUGAAAUUAUUUAAAUGGCCGCAGUAUUCUAACUGUGCAAAGGUAGCAUAAUCAUUAGUCUUUUAAUUGAAGGCUGGUAUGAACGGUUGGACGAGGUAUAAGCUGUUUCAUAUAAAUUUAUAGUAGAAUUUUAUUUUUUAGUUAAAAAGCUAAAAUUUAAUUAAAAGACGAGAAGACCCUAUAAAUCUUUAUACCUUGUGCUAUUUAAAUUUUUUAGAUAGAUUUUAUUUUUAUGGCGUAAGGUAUUUUGUUGGGGUGAUGUUGAAAUUUAAUGAACUUUCAAUUUGUUAAAGAUCAUUGAUUUAUGAAUUAUUGAUCCAUUAAUAGUGAUUAUAAGAUUAAGUUACUUUAGGGAUAACAGCGUAAUUUUUUUGGAGAGUUCAUAUCGAUAAAAAAGUUUGCGACCUCGAUGUUGGAUUAAGAUAUAGUUUUAGGUGUAGCCGCUUAAAU